UCGCGCCAGCGGCAUGGCCGGUUGGCUACGUUCGGGAGGGAUAACCGCUGAAAGCAUCUAAGCGGGAAGCCUGCUCCAAGAUUAGGAUUCCUUGACGCUCCCCGGAGCGCCUGUAGCCCGCAUGUUGAACACGUGUUCGAUAGGCCGGAGGUGGAAGUCCCGCGAGGGGUGGAGCCGACCGGUACUAACGGGCGAACGCGGCA
RNAcentral lists this ribosomal RNA (203 nucleotides) under Bifidobacterium dentium. RNAcentral describes it as "partial 23S ribosomal RNA". It matches the Rfam family "Bacterial large subunit ribosomal RNA", at positions 2724 to 2925 of the family's 2925-position model. Lineage: Bacteria; Bacillati; Actinomycetota; Actinomycetes; Bifidobacteriales; Bifidobacteriaceae. The record is from RNAcentral.